GUCCAGGAGCCAACAGCCUCUCUGUGCAAACCAGACAACCCUGCAGGAACUGUGCUUGAAGAAACCGUGGAAACUGCCCCCAACCCUCCCGUCUCUAUUUCUUUCUCUGUUUUAUUAUCUCAUUCUUGGCUGUGAGGUAAACAGGAGAAAAUGAGAAGGUGGUUCUGGAGGACCCGACCGAAUUUGCUUUCGUGACAGGGUCAAGCGCCCUUUCCUCGCCGGCCGCAGCCCUCACCAAAGGGGAUUUGGGGGCCUCCGGACAGGGGUCCUGAAGGUUUUGAAUUGUUCAAUCUCUGGGGGUACAGGAACCCCUGCAGGAGGUUUCAAAGGCAAGAGUUUCGCAGAGAGAAAAAAACCAUGAACUUUGCAGGUUGGUGGCGGAAUCUGGUGAUUUAAGAAAACGUGUUUAAGCCUCGGCCGGGCCGCGCCUGGGCUGUCUGCGGUGCUCUUCCGGAAUUCUCUACAAUAUCUGGAAGUGACCAAGAAAAUUCCAGAACCCGGAGGCUGCGCCGUGGAGAUAAACAUGGGCACCUGGGAAGGAACUGCUGGACCAGCAGAAUGAGGGGCCAACGCCAGGGGCAGCACUGCCCGGCCACAGAGGACUGUGGCCCCACAGAUGACACCCUCAGCUACCAGCUCCUGCAUCUGGAAGAUGACCAGGAGGAGGAAGGACGGUCUGCAAGUGUUCAAAGUGAUGUUUCCAGGCCGGGCGCGCUUGUAAUACCAGCAUUUGGGAGGCUGAGGCAGGCGGAUCACCUGAGGUCGGGAGUUCGAGACCAGCCUGACCAACGUGGAGAAACCCCGUCUCUACUAAAAAUACAAAAUUAGCCAGGCGUGGUGGCGCAGCUACUCGGGAGGCUGAGGCAGGAGAAUCGCUUGAACCCGGGAGGCGGAGGUUGCGGUGAGCUGAGAUUGUGCCAUUGCACUCCAGCCUGGGCAACAAGAGUGAAACUCCGUCUGAAAAAAAAAAAACCUCUAUAACAUCCAAAAUACUAACCACUUGUUACCUCUAGAUUGUUUGGGGAUGUUAGAUUUCUCCUUUGUUGCCAGCUCUUUUAUUUUUAUUUAUUUAUUUAUUAUUAUUAUUAUUAUUAUUAUUAUUAUUAUUAUUUUGAGAUGGAGUCUUGUUCUGUUGCCCAGGAUGGAGUGCAGUGGUGUGAUCUCGGCUCACUGCAACCUCCGCCUCCUGGGUUUGAGCAAUUCUCCUGCCUCAGCCUCCCGAGUAGCUGGGACUACACGCGUGUGCCACCACGCCAGGCUAAUUUUUGUAUUUUUAGUAGAGACGGGGUUUUGCCAUGUUGGCCAGGAUGGUCAGGAACUCCCCAACUCUUAUUUUUAAAUGUUGGGCCACACAAGUCUGGGAAAUGUUAGUUUUCAAACACAUCAGGGAAUAAAUGGAUACAAAAGUCUUGAGGACCACUUAAGAAAUGAACAAUAGCAGAUGUGUAACAGUUAUACUACGCUGCUACCUUGUAAAACAUUUUAGAAACAUCUGUUUCCAGCCGGGCCUGGUGGCUCACGCCUGUGAUACCAGCACUUUGGGAGGCUGAGGUGGGCAGAUCAUGAGGUCAGGAGUUCGAGACCAGCCUGGCCAACCUAGUGAACCCUCAUCUCUACUAAAACUACAAAAAAUUAGCCAGGUGUGGUGGCGGGCGCCUGUAAUCCCAGCUACUUGGGAGGCUGAGGCAGGAGAAUCGCUUGAACCUGGGAGGCGGAGGUUGCAGUGAGCCAAGAUUGCACCACUGCUCUCCAGCCUGGCAACAAAGGAAGACUCCAUCUCAAAAAAAAAAAAGAAUAAAAAGAAUACAAAAAGAAAAAAAAAACAUCUGUAUCAUCCUUGUAGAUUCUGGGGUUUGGAAACAGGCUUUGAAAAAAGUCCUGAAACAGGCCGGGCGCCGUGGCUCACACCUGUAAUCCCAGCACUUCUGGAGGCCGAGGCGGGCGGAUCAUGAGGUCAGGAGAUCGAGACCAUCCUGGCUAACACGGUGAAACCCCGUCUCUACUAAAAAUACAAAAAAAUUAGCCGGGCGUGGUGGUGGGCACCUGUAGUCCCAGCUACUCGGGAGGCUGAGGCAGGAGAAUGGCCUGAACCUGGGAGGUGGAGCUUGCAGUGAGCCGAGAUCGCGCCACUGCACUCCAGCCUGGGCGACAGAGCGAGACUCUGUCUCAGAAAAGAAAAGAAAAGAAGAGAAGAGAAGAAAAGAAAAAAUCCUGAAGCAAAUGGAGCAAAUUUUGAACAGCUUGAAUACCUGAGACAGGCCAGGGGUGCGGGGCAGGUGGAUCACUAGGUCAGGAGUUUGAGACCAUCCUGGCCAACAUGGAGACACCUCAUCUCUACUAAAAAUACAAAAAUUAUCUGGGCGUGGCGGUGGGCGCCUGUAAUCCCAGCUACUUGUGAGGCUGAAGCAGGAGAAUCGCUUGAACUCGGGAAGCGGAGGUUGCAGUGAGCUGAAAUCGCACCACUGCACUCCAGCCUGGGCAACAGGGCGAGAUUCCGUCUCAAAAAAAAAAGAAGCAUGUUUCCUAGCAAGCCAAUUCAGAAUAAAAAGAAAACAAAGGAGAAAAUAUAAUCCCAAUAAAAUAUAUUGAAAUAAAUAUGUACACACAUAUAUAUAUGUGAGUUUAUGCUUUGUUUUGUUUUGUUUUCUGGAAGACGGAGUCUCGCUCUGUCACCCAGACUGGAGUGCAAUGGCGUGAUCUCAGCUCACUGCAACCUCUGCCUCCCUGGUUCAAGGGAUUCUCUUGCCUCAGCCUCCAAAGUGCUGGGAUCACAGGUGGGAGCCACGCGCCCGGCCCCAAAGCCCUCCUUGCACAAGCACCUGAGCCGCCAUGGCCCACAGGCCCAUCAAAACCAGAGCAAACUGGUACCUGUGAUACAGCCUCCACUCCAGCCCCAGGGCCCAGCCCCAGGCCACCCGAGCCGGCUGUGGGUGACCUGAGACCAAGUGUCGUUUCCUGCUAUAAACUAUUGAUGCCUGAGCAGUCACCUCCAGGAGCUCCGGGCUUGGCUACGGUGUCCUGGGUUCCCUGUAAUGAAGCCCGGGGCAGCUGCGGCCUGGAGGGCGUCUGCUCCGCCUCCAUCCUGGGCCCGCCUGGGGCUCUUUUCCUUCUAGGCCUGGUUCCCUCCAAAAUUAGCUUCCUAUCGGGAUCCCACAUCCCCUCACAAUGGAGGCCUGACCUCUGGGGAGACACAAUGUCAGGGUCACUGUGAGGUUUUUAUUUAUGUACUUUUAUUUUUAUUUAUUUGAUACCGAGUCUCACUGUGUUGUCCAGGCUGGACUGCAUUAGUGUGAUCCUGGCUCACUGCAACCUCUGCCUCUCGGGCUCAAGCGAUUCUCCUGCCUCAGCCUCCCAAGUAGCUGGGAUUACAGGCACCCACCACCACGCCCGGGUAAUUUUUUUGUAUUUUUAGUAGAGACGGGGUUUCACCGUGUUCGCCAGGAUGGUCUCGGUCUCCUGACCUCGUGAUCUGCCCGCCUCAGCCUCCCAAAGUGCUGGGAUGACAGGCGUGAACCACCGCGCCCGGCCUCGAUUUACUCAUUUUUUUUGAGAGAGAGAGAGAGUCUCACUCUGUCACCCAGGCUGGAGUGCAGUGGCGUGAUCUCAGCUCACUGCAACCUCCGCCUCUUGGGUUCAAAUAAUAAUUCUCCUGCCUCAGCCUCCCGAGUAGCUGGGAUUACAUGUGUAUGCUACCACACCCAGCUAAUUUUUAUAUCUUUGGUAGAGACAGGCUUUUGCCCUGUUGGCCAGGCUGGUCUCGAACUCCUGACCUCAGGGCAUCCACCCGCCUCAGUCACCCAACGUGCUGGGAUCACAGGCGUGAGCCACCGCGCCUGGCCUGACUUUAUUAUUGUUUUACAAAGAGCAGACCUUCCACCUGCCAUGGAUAAAACGCCGAGUUCUAGAGGACACUGGAGACAGAGUGUUCCCCAGAACAAGGCCUGGGCGCAGCAGCCUGCAGGGCUGGGGUCUCCACUCCCGGGGGAGCGUGCAGCGGGGCCUGCCAUCCCUCUGUGCCCCCGCCCCACCCCCACUCUGCAGGCCGCUGACCCUGUGGUCGGGCUGGUGAGCAGAUGGCUGCUGGAUCACUGACAGCCCGGCUCACGUUCCCUCUCCCUAUGGAGACAUCUUCCUUUUAAUAAAUUUUGCAAGGCCGUGGAGGGGGGCCAGCGCUCUGGCCCACGUCUGUCUCCCAUCCCCAUCACCACACGAGGCCCCAGCACGCCUGGCUGGCCUAAGUCCCCGCAGGAUGAAUGGGCUUCCGGGGCCUGCUGGGACCAGGUAAGCAGGCUGUGCGGCUUAAAACAACACAAAUACACUCUCGUCUCUGGAGGCCGGAAGUCUGAAGUGAAGGUGUGCAAGGUGCCAGGCGAGUACCCUCCCGGCCUCUUCCAGCUCCUGGUGCCGACAGCCACCUCUGACCCUCCUGGACUUGCGGCCGCUUCCCUCCCAAUUCUGCCUCUGCUGCCCCACGGCGGUCUCCUCUGCAUCUGUGUCCAAAUUUCCCUUGUCUCCCGAAGUCGCCUGUCACUGCGGUGGUGCCCGCCCUAAUGAUCUCAUCCUAACUAAUUACAUCUGCAGAAACCCUAUUUCCACAUAAGGUCCCAUUUGUAGGUGCCUGGGGUUCACGCAAAGACAGAUCUUUGAGGGAACUCAAUUCACCCCACCCCGGGGAGUUUGCCUUUGUGGCCGGCCCUUCCCCCUCAGAUCAAAUUCUGCCUCCUCAGCGAGGCCUUCCUGACCCUCCCGGGCCCUUCCUGCCUUUCUCUCUGGCUGCGGCUGUUUCCUGCGGGGCUGGCUGCAGCUCCCGGCGGCGCCCUGUCCUGUACCUGUUUCAUGUCCAUCGUCGGCAACCCCUGGCUUCUAACACAGCUCAUUGCCCGCAGGACCUCCCAGCAGGAGCAGGGACCCAGUAGGCCCUGCGUCUCCGUCCGAACCACAAGCUGCUGUGGGUGGUCACUUGACAGAAAGACCCCUGCCCCCCCUUCCUUAUUUGUUUAUUUGCUUUUUCUGUUGCUUUAGAGACUGGAUUUUGCCCUGUCAUCCAGGCUGGAGUGCAGUGGCGAAAUCUCGGUUCACUGCAGCCUCCAUCUCCUGGGCUCUGGUGAGACUACGGCCUUAGCCUCCUGAAUAGCUGAGACCACAGGCGUGCACCACCACGCCCAGCUGAUUCUUUGACUUUUGUUUAUACAGGGUUUUGCCAUGUUGCCCAGGGUGGUUUCAAAGUCCUGGCCUCAAGCAAUCCUCGUGCCUCGCCCUCCCGAAGUGAUGGGAUUAUAGGCAUGAACAACUACCCACUUCACUCCAUCCUUUCCUUUUUUUUUUUUUUUGAGACAGAGUCUUACUCUGUCACCAGGCUGGAGUGCAAUGGUGCGAUCUCAGCUCACUGCAACCUCCGCCUCCCAGGUUCAAGCGAUUCUCCUGCCUCAGCCUCCCGAGUAGCUGGGAUUACAGGCAUGCACCACCACACCUGGCUAAUUUUGUAUUUUUAGUAGAGAAAGGGUUUCACCAUGUUGGUCAGGCUGGUCUUGAACUCCCGACCUCAGGUGAUCCACCCACCUCAGCCUCCCAAACUGCUGGGAUUACAGGCAUGAGCCACCACACCCGGCCGAGACAGGGUUUUCAGGCGAUCUGCCUGCCUCGGGCUCCCGAAGUGCUAGGAUUACAGGCGUGAGCCACUGGGCCUGGCUUUAUUUAAUUUUUUGAGAUGGGAUCUCACUCUGUGGCCCAGGAUGGAGUGCAGUGGUGGGAUCCCAGCUAACUACAGCCUUGAACUCCUGGCCUCAAGGGAUCCUCCCGCCUGGGUUUCCCAAAGGGCUGGGAAUGACAGGUGUGAGCCCCCACCCCCCUGGCCUGGAUAUUUCAUAGAAAUGGGAUCACACGGGGCCAGGCGCGGUGGCUCACGCCUGUCAUCCUAGCACUUUGGGAGGCCGAGGCGGGCGGAUCACCUGAGGUCAGGAGUUUGAGACCAGCCUGGCCAACAUGGUGAAACCCCAUCUCUACUAAAAAUACAAAAAUUAGCUGGGCUUGGUGGUGGGUGCCUGCAAUCUCAGCUCCUUGGGACUCUGAGGCAGGAGAAUUGAUUGAACCAGGAGGCAGAGGUUGCAGUGAACUGAGAUCGUGCCAUUGCACUCCAGCCUGGGCAGCAAGAGCCAAACUCUGUCUCGAAAAAAUAAAAUAAAUGGGAUCACACGCUGUGUGUCCUUCUGUGUCUGGCGUCUCUCACGGAGCGUGACGUCCUUAAGGUGCAUCCGCGCUGUGGCCUGGGUCAGAGCCUGGAUCCUUUUCACGCUGAGUUGUGUUCCGCGGUGGACGGCCGGCACUGGGUUGGUCUUUUCUUCCACUAACGGGAAUUUGGGCUGUUUCCACAUGUGGCCUCCGUGAAUAACACUACGAUGAACGUUCAUGUACGCGUUUCUGUGUGGACUUGUGUUUCCCCUUCUCUCAGGGGCAUGAAUAGGAGGAGAAUUGCGGGGUUCCUGAGGGCCGGCCCCCAGUGCUGGCACAUCCCCAAGCCAAGCCCCACCCCUCUUUUUUUUUUUUGAGACAGAGUCUUGCUCCGUCACCCAUGCUAGAGUGCAAUGGCCCCAUCUCGGCUCACUGCAACCUCCGCCUCCUGAGUUCAAGCAAUUCUCCUGCCUCAGUCUCCCGAGGAGCUGAGGUUACAGGCACCCACCACCAUGCCCAGAUAAUUUUUGUUUUUUUAGUGGGAGACGGGGUUUCCCCAUGUUGGCCAGGCUGAUCUUGAACUCCUGAUCUCAGGGAUCCACGCACCUCAGCACCCUCUUUGGAAGUUCCUAGCAAGUUCUCUGCCUGAGUUCAGACCCACAGGGCCUCUUAGGGGACGGGGGAGGGUCAGGGCCCAGCUCUAGCUGAACUCCCCCGGGGGGAGGGGGGAGGGGGGAGGCUCAGGACCCAGCUCUAGGGGGGAUUGAGGAGGAUCAGGGCCCAGCUCUAGCUGAACUCCCCUGGGGGUAGGGAGGAGGGUCAGGGCCCAGCUCCAGCUGAACUCCCCUGGGUGGGGUGGGGAAAGAGGGUCAGGCUGGGGAGGGGAGCACAGAAUGGCGGGGUGCCAGGCCUGGGGGAGAGGCGGAUGGGGUGGGGAAGGAUGGGUCUGGGCAGAUAACGCUGUGGCCUUUUCCUGUUGGCCUGAGGGCCCAGGGUGGGGGUGGGGAGAGGCUGGUCUCCCUGAGGUCUGGGCAUAGGGAGGUGUCCUGGGAUGAGAAGACUCUUGAGAAGUGACUUUGAUAAUUCGGGGGCAGAUCCUUGGGCCCACCACCCCUUGCAGGGACAGGGGUCCUUCUUGGGGUGGGGGAUGAACAGAGACUGGAGAGGGUGGGGGAGAAAGGAGUUGAGGGGCUAAUUUACAGGACCUCUCAGGCCGGGUGUGGCAGCUCACACCUGUCAUCCCAGCACACUGGGCAGCUGAGGCAGGAGGACCCCUUGAGCCCAGGAGUUUGAGACCAGCCUGGGUAACACGGUGAGAUUCUGUGUCUACAAAACAUUUUUUAAAAUGAGCCAGGCGUGGUGGAACUACUUGCUUAUAGCCCCAGCUACCGAGAGGCUGAGGCGGGAGGAUCACCUGAGCUGGGGAGGUUGGGGCUGUGGGGAGCCGAGACUGUGCCUCUGCACUCCAGCCUGGGCAACAGAGUGAGACCCUGCCUCAAAAAAAUAAAUAAACAAAAAAUAAAUAAAGCCCCCAUUCCCUUUAGGAUCUCUACUUCCUAUACCAACCCACUGUCCCAGCUUGGAGGGGCGGGACCAGCCUCGAGCCGCAGUUGAUUCCCAGAGCACAGAGCACAGGACGGAAGUGGUUCUGCAUGGGGUAUAGUGAGGCCAGGGAAUAGCAAUGCAUUCCUGUCCGUGAGUCCUGGCCAUCAGGCCUUGGGGUGGCCUCACCGAACCCCCACUCCAAGCUCCGUUCAACAGAAAUCCAGGAAAUGGGCCGGAGAGGCUGGGAGACCACCCAGGAGACCAGCCCGAGGCCGCGCCCUGGAUCCCUGAGCCCUCACUUUUGUAAUUAAGAUAAUAAACCUGUGCUGGCUGUGCGGG
This 8052-nucleotide long non-coding RNA is filed under the name Homo sapiens (human). RNAcentral describes it as "HSALNT0395541". Lineage: Eukaryota; Metazoa; Chordata; Mammalia; Primates; Hominidae. The record is from RNAcentral.